ACGCUCGACACCUACGGGAGUCAGCAGUGGGGAAUAUUGCACAAUGGGGGAAACCCUGAUGCAGCGACGCCGCGUGAGUGAAGAAGUAUUUCGGUAUGUAAAGCUCUAUCAGCAGGGAAGAAGAUGACGGUACCUGAGUAAGAAGCCCCGGCUAACUACGUGCCAACAGCCGCGGUAAUCUGAGCGGGCUGGCAAGGC
RNAcentral lists this ribosomal RNA (198 nucleotides) under uncultured bacterium. Its description in RNAcentral is "partial 16S ribosomal RNA". It matches the Rfam family "Bacterial small subunit ribosomal RNA", at positions 328 to 539 of the family's 1533-position model. The record is from RNAcentral.